UCCUUGUCAGAGCCGUAUUGGGGAUCUCACCAGAUACAUUUUGGAGGAUGGUUCUGCUAACUUUUUUUUAAUUGUUCUAAUUAGUUAUACAUGACAGUAGAAUGCAUUUAACACGUCAUACAUAAAUCGAGUAUAACUUCUCAUUCUUCUGGUUGUACACAAUGUAGAAUCAUACUACCCGUGUAAUCAUAUAUGUAUAUAGGGUAAUGAUGGCUGAUUCAUUCCACUAUCUUUCCUACCCACAAACCCCUUCCCCUCCCUUCACUCCCCUCUGCCUAAUCCAAAGUACUUAUAUUUUUCCCUGCUUUAUUGUGAAUUAGCAUCCACAUAUUAGAGAAAAUAUCUGGCCUUUGGUUUUUUGAGAUUGACUUAUUUUGCUUAGCAUGAUAUUCUCUAACUCCAUCCAUUUGCCUGCCAAUGUCAUAAUUUCAUUUUUCUCUAAGGCUAAGUAAUAUUCCAUUGUGUAUAUGUACCACAUUUUCUUUAUCCAUUCAUCUGUUGAAGGGCAUCUAUGUUGGUUCCAUAGUUUGGCUAUUAUGAAUUGAGCUGCUGUAAAAUUAGUGUGGCUGUGUCACUGUAGUAUGUUGAUUUUAAGUCCUCUGGGUUUGAACUGAGGAGUAGGAUAGCUGGGUCAAAUUGUGGUUCCAUUCCAAGUUUUCUGAGGAAUCUCCAUGCUUUCCAGAGUGGUAGCACCAGUUUUCAGUCCCAUCAGCAAUAUAUGAGUGUACCUUUACCCCUACAUUCUUGCUCACACUUAUUGUUGCUUGUAUUCUUUAUUUUUUUUAGUAUUUGGCGGACACAACAUCUUCGUUUGUAUGUGGUGCUGAGGAUCGAACCCGGGCCGCACGCAUGCCAGGCGAGCGCGCUACCGCUUGAGCCACAUCCCCAGCCCCUGUUGCUUGUAUUCUUGAUAAUUGCCAUUCUGACAGGAAUGAGAUGAAAUCUCAGUGUAGUUUCAAUUUGCAUUUCUCCAAGUGUUAGAGAUGUUGAACAUUUUUUCAUAUAUUCGUGGAUUGAUUGUAUUUCUUCUGUGAAGUGUCUGUUCAGUUCCUUUCUUUUAGAUUUUAAUGGACCAGAAUGCCUUAGGUAGUGCUUUUGAGUGAGGAACCUCAUUCCGUCUCAACGACUGGGAACAUCCAAUCUGUUAAUGGCUCUCCCAUGUCCAUGGAUGAAGAACAAAUCACAAAGUACUCUUAUGUGUGGGGACGAGUGCAGAGCGUCAGAUUAUGUGUGUUCAUCUUCUUAUCAUUCUGAAUCAGCAAUCGCAACUCUUCUGUUGGGUUGAUUCCCUGCUCUGCAUGCAGGCGGACCCAGUCCCUUCCUUUUGUUCAGGAAACAGGAGGGGAGAGAAGUACAAGAACUAGGCUAACUCUUAUGCAGCCAUUAGGAAAAUCUCGGUAUGCUAUCAAGGUUUUUGUUUUCCAAAAGAUGAGACAUACAAGGGUGAUGGGGCCACACAACCUGCUGUGACCUGGAGAUUGCUGUAACAACCCAUUGAGAGCCAGUGUAGAGAUGGACCUUGUUGCUUUUGAAUGAUGCCUCGUAAACCUGCUGAAGUUCAUGAAAACAGCCUUUGUGCCUUGUCUGGCUCCACGUGUGAGAAGGAUUCCAGAUUUCUCAUGAAUCCUAGUGGCUGGGGUGAUGGAUCCCAUCGUGUGAGGUGACACACACCAGGUCUUGGAACUGCCUCUGUGCUCUUCUGACAAGAAGUACUGCCUGGCACCUUCCCCAGGGCGGAUGCCCAACUUGAUGGCCCAAUUGUGACAAAGGGAAAUACAGCUGCUGCAUAUCUUGGAAUGCUCAUGCCAGCGGGUCAUGUUGUUAAUGAAACUGAAAAGUUCCAUGGUGGCAUCUGCAAGGUGGAGGGCCUGAGAACUGGGUAGUAGCUUGGCUCACUCUAAGAAACUAGGCCCGUAGCCAACUGGAUCGUGCCUGACUGCCACCCGGAGGGUGAAGGGCUGGAGAGAUGGUGGAGUCCACCACAUAGAGAUGUGAGAAAAAAUGGCUGGAAGAACAUAGAAAUAAAAAUCAGAGAGGCUCCAAGAUAGAGAAAUAAAGAUCCACAGGGGCGAGAGAAAGCCUCAAGUUUAAGGUGAAAGAUGGAUAGCCAUUUAGGGGAAAACAGAGGAAAGAGUUGAUGAGAAAGAAAGAAACCUGAGAAACUAAGACCUAGAGCAACCAAGAAGGAGCAGACAGGUGGAAGUUCCACCAGGGGGAACAGUGACCUUGAGGGAGGGAAUGUGGACCUCAGCUCUGUCAUUUGCUGAUAUUGUGAUCUUGGAUAGUUUUUCCAUGGCCUGGACUUUAUUGAAGUCCUUUCCUGAUAGACAGAAGACAUGCUUGCUGGAGACUGGCAGAAUGGCAGUUUAUUUUCAAAUAUGAUACAGAAAGCAUUGGUGGGACUUUUCCAUGGUUAAUGUACCCCAGAUUAGAAACACCACUUGAUAAAGUCUUGCUCUUUGAAUAGCUUCCACUACCUUCAGUGUGGCUUAGGAAUAUGAGUUGUAGUUUAUGGUGCAUGUCUUAAUUCUGAACCAAUAUUUAUACCUCUAUUUACAAAACAAGUGUGGAUAGCCAAAGGCAUGGAGAGGUCAAGUCCCUGCCUCCUUAAAUCUUCUGCAGGGGUAGAGGAGCUCUGAUCCAGCAGAACAUAUUAUACUCGAUCCUACCCUGGGUCCCUGACACUACAUAACUUUGGCUCUCCACUGUUUCCCUGCUUUCCACUCUUCAGGGAAGCCUUUGCCCAUGAACUUGACUUGUGGGUCCCUUUCUAUUCCUUAGGAGAAGGUGUCUUUAUUGGCCUUCUCUGUGAUAUUGUGCAGUACUCUGCACAUUUAUAGCUUGCAUAAAUAUUGAACAAUAAUAAAUAACUACAAGGGAGGAAGAAUAUUAUAGGCUGGGGAGAGUGAAAGAUGCUGAACUCAUCAUAUGAGGGCCAAUCUCAGGCCUCUUGGCUAUCUCCUUCAAAGAGAUUUGUUUGCCAGCUGUGUUGAGAAAUAUACUUUCCAUAUGAUGAGCCCAGAGAAGCAGCCAGUUUCCCUAUAGAAUGCUUUUGGAGCAUCCCCAAGAGGACCCGCUGAAUGGUUAAUGGUGUUUCAGAGAGGAUAACCCCGCACGCCUCCUUGGCAACUGGGUUAGAGGAAAGCCCUGGGGAUGAUGGCUGUAGCAAGACGAUGAAAUUAGAGGAAUGGGAUGGAUUCUUUUUAUUUCACUUUAUUUUCUGAUUCCAUGUGCAAACAGGGCAGCUUUCCAAACAUUUAAUGGAUGCAUAGUCGGCUGAGAAGUUCACUUGUUUUUCACUUCACAAUGAUUUUGGCUCAAGGAGGGCAUUUCUUAUUUAACACGUAAUCCAGGUUCAGUGUGUCAAUCAGAUGCUAUCUCCUCCAUCUUAAGAACUGUUUUUUCUGUUUGGUUUACAAACUAGUUAAGAGACAACUAUAUUCUUAAAUUUGAAGCAUAGUAAAAUAUUGAGUAAAUGUUUACAGACCUGGGAGAUUGAAGAAACUAUAAUUAAAAAGGCAAUAUGCAAACCAGUUGGGCUCACAUCUUUUGAAGUUCUGCCUGGCUGCCACCCAACCCAGAAAUAGGUAUUUAGUAAAUAAAACUAAUGCCUCUUUUAUAGCAUGAUCAAUAUCUUUUUGUUGUACUGAAAAUGUUUCCAUCAUUUUGAAUAGAUUGGUUUUAUUUACUCAGAAUGUCAAAUAUUAUACAUCUUGGAAUGGGAAUGAGGUUCUACCUCAAAUGUUGAAUAAACAAGAAUCAGUA
Molecule: long non-coding RNA, 3765 nt
Organism: Marmota monax (woodchuck)
Lineage: Eukaryota; Metazoa; Chordata; Mammalia; Rodentia; Sciuridae
Exons: 7
Source: RefSeq, a predicted model, not a curated record